RNAcentral lists this ribosomal RNA (1372 nucleotides) under uncultured bacterium. Its description in RNAcentral is "bacterial SSU rRNA". It matches the Rfam family "Bacterial small subunit ribosomal RNA", at positions 28 to 1381 of the family's 1533-position model. The record is from RNAcentral.
GAUGAACGCUGGCGGCGUGCCUAAUACAUGCAAGUCGAGCGAACGGACGAGAAGCUUGCUUCUCUGAUGUUAGCGGCGGACGGGUGAGUAACACGUGGAUAACCUACCUAUAAGACUGGGAUAACUUCGGGAAACCGGAGCUAAUACCGGAUAAUAUUUUGAACCGCAUGGUUCAAAAGUGAAAGACGGUCUUGCUGUCACUUAUAGAUGGAUCCGCGCUGCAUUAGCUAGUUGGUAAGGUAACGGCUUACCAAGGCAACGAUGCAUAGCCGACCUGAGAGGGUGAUCGGCCACACUGGAACUGAGACACGGUCCAGACUCCUACGGGAGGCAGCAGUAGGGAAUCUUCCGCAAUGGGCGAAAGCCUGACGGAGCAACGCCGCGUGAGUGAUGAAGGUCUUCGGAUCGUAAAACUCUGUUAUUAGGGAAGAACAUAUGUGUAAGUAACUGUGCACAUCUUGACGGUACCUAAUCGGAAAGCCACGGCUAACUACGUGCCAGCAGCCGCGGUAAUACGUAGGUGGCAAGCGUUAUCCGGAAUUAUUGGGCGUAAAGCGCGCGUAGGCGGUUUUUUAAGUCUGAUGUGAAAGCCCACGGCUCAACCGUGGAGGGUCAUUGGAAACUGGAAAACUUGAGUGCAGAAGAGGAAAGUGGAAUUCCAUGUGUAGCGGUGAAAUGCGCAGAGAUAUGGAGGAACACCAGUGGCGAAGGCGACUUUCUGGUCUGUAACUGACGCUGAUGUGCGAAAGCGUGGGGAUCAAACAGGAUUAGAUACCCUGGUAGUCCACGCCGUAAACGAUGAGUGCUAAGUGUUAGGGGGUUUCCGCCCCUUAGUGCUGCAGCUAACGCAUUAAGCACUCCGCCUGGGGAGUACGACCGCAAGGUUGAAACUCAAAGGAAUUGACGGGGACCCGCACAAGCGGUGGAGCAUGUGGUUUAAUUCGAAGCAACGCGAAGAACCUUACCAAAUCUUGACAUCCUUUGACAACUCUAGAGAUAGAGCCUUCCCCUUCGGGGGGCAAAGUGACAGGUGGUGCAUGGUUGUCGUCAGCUCGUGUCGUGAGAUGUUGGGUUAAGUCCCGCAACGAGCGCAACCCUUAAGCUUAGUUGCCAUCAUUAAGUUGGGCACUCUAAGUUGACUGCCGGUGACAAACCGGAGGAAGGUGGGGAUGACGUCAAAUCAUCAUGCCCCUUAUGAUUUGGGCUACACACGUGCUACAAUGGACAAUACAAAGGGCAGCGAAACCGCGAGGUCAAGCAAAUCCCAUAAAGUUGUUCUCAGUUCGGAUUGUAGUCUGCAACUCGACUACAUGAAGCUGGAAUCGCUAGUAAUCGUAGAUCAGCAUGCUACGGUGAAUACGUUCCCGGGUCU